AAUAGAUACCCAGGUAGUCCACGCCGUAAACGGUGGGCGCUAGGUGUGGGGGACUUUCCACGUCCUCUGUGCCGCAGCUAACGCAUUAAGCGCCCCGCCUGGGGAGUACGGCCGCAAGGCUAAAACUCAAAGGAAUUGACGGGGGCCCGCACAAGCGGCGGAGCAUGUGGCUUAAUUCGACGCAACGCGAAGAACCUUACCAAGGCUUGACAUGCAGGGAAAUCUCGUAGAGAUACGGGGUCCGCAAGGGCUCUGCACAGGUGGUGCAUGGUUGUCGUCAGCUCGUGUCGUGAGAUGUUGGGUUAAGUCCCGCAACGAGCGCAACCCUUGUCCUAUGUUGCCAGCGAGUAAUGUCGGGGACUCAUAGGAGACUGCCGGGGUCAACUCGGAGGAAGGUGGGGAUGACGUCAAAUCAUCAUGCCCCUUAUGUCUUGGGCUGCACACAUGCUACAAUGGUCGGUACAAAGGGCUGCGAGACCGCGAGGUGGAGCGAAUCCCAAAAAGCCGGCCUCAGUUCGGAUUGGGGU
Molecule: ribosomal RNA, 527 nt
Filed under: uncultured bacterium
Lineage: Bacteria
Description: bacterial SSU rRNA
Rfam family: Bacterial small subunit ribosomal RNA
Source: RNAcentral